Molecule: ribosomal RNA, 497 nt
Filed under: uncultured bacterium
Lineage: Bacteria
Description: partial 16S ribosomal RNA
Rfam family: Bacterial small subunit ribosomal RNA
Source: RNAcentral
GACGAACGCUGGCGGCGUGCCUAAUACAUGCAAGUUGAGCGCUGAAGGUUGGUACUUGUACCGACUGGAUGAGCAGCGAACGGGUGAGUAACGCGUGGGGAAUCUGCCUUUGAGCGGGGGACAACAUUUGGAAACGAAUGCUAAUACCGCAUAAAAACUUUAAACACAAGUUUUAAGUUUGAAAGAUGCAAUUGCAUCACUCAAAGAUGAUCCCGCGUUGUAUUAGCUAGUUGGUGAGGUAAAGGCUCACCAAGGCGAUGAUACAUAGCCGACCUGAGAGGGUGAUCGGCCACAGUGGGACUGAGACACGGCCCAAACUCCUACGGGAGGCAGCAGUAGGGAAUCUUCGGUAAUGGACGAAAGUCUGACCGAGCAACGCCGCGUGAGUGAAGAAGGUUUUCGGAUCGUAAAACUCUGUUGGUAGAGAAGAACGUUGGUGAGAGUGGAAAGCUCAUCAAGUGACGGUAACUACCCAGAAAGGGACGGCUAACUACGUG